GCUCAGCAGGGGUUGCUUGGAGAGAACAUUGAUCCAGGCGAGAAGACUGGAUAUAUUCUUUAGGGUGAGGGCGGCGGGUGGAUAUGAGAGUACGGAUACUGCGGGUAAAAGAACUGGGACGUUUGUAUAGGUGGUAAGGGCUGAGGAGAGGGUAAGAAGAUUCACUGAUUUGGGCGGAUUCAGGGAUGUAGGAGUAUUCUACAAGAUUUUCAAUUUUAUUAGUGGUAUGAGAAGAGCAAGAUUUGGGCAAAGAAAGAGUAGAAGAAAGAGUAACAGGAGGUGAAGAGGAAGUGGAAGCCAUGAAUGAGAAAUUCUCUCUGCGCCUGAAGUUCUAGAGAGCAAAAUAGAAAAAGCCUUAAAUUAUACCAUUUUGGGCAGGAAAACGUUGAUUUAGAAAACAUGAAAGUUUCAAGGAGGGGUAUGGCUCUGAUACCAUUUGAAAUUAAGGAAGUAUCCUCUGCACUUGCCUGUCAUAAGGAUCCUAUGCAUCAGAAAACUUUUAAAGAUUUUUAUCUGGUUUGGUACCCUGUUUUAAGACAAAAGAGUCUGUUUUGGGUUGAAUAACCUCAAAUGAAAAUGUUUUAAGUUUUCUGUUUUUCCAUCUAAAUAUAUCGGCUGGAAACCCAAUAAGGCAUGAUUUUGAAGCCUAUAGACCAAUUGGUGGUGCAAGGUGGCAAUUUUGGCAGAAGAAAUUUGUUCAGCACCUUGAAUUUGGACUUGAACCUUUAAGGUUGUGGGCAAGUUGGGAUCUUGGAGAGAAAGGUUGAAGUUUGGGUAAAAGGUAAGUAAAACACUUCCUGCAUGGAGGGUUGUAAGGACAGUGCCAAUAACAGCAUCGUGGUACUAUUUAAAUCGGGUAUCAAGCAUAGCAAGGCGGGCUGUAACCGGUAAUCCUUUUCUACUAUGAAGAGUAAGGAUUAAUCUGAUGCCUCCAAGAUGAAGAUGAGUGUAACCUUCUCGUUUCCAAUUGGAAAUUAACUCUGAAGGUAUUUCGAGAGUGACAUAUUGCUCAGCAGGGGUUGCUUGGAGAGAACAUUGAUCCAGGCGAGAAGACUGGAUAUAUUCUUUAGGGUGAGGGCGGCGGGUGGAUAUGAGAGUACGGAUACUGCGGGUAAAAGAACUGGGACGUUUGUAUAGGUGGUAAGGGCUGAGGAGAGGGUAAGAAGAUUCACUGAUUUGGGCGGAUUCAGGGAUGUAGGAGUAUUCUACAAGAUUUUCAAUUUUAUUAGUGGUAUGAGAAGAGCAAGAUUUGGGCAAAGAAAGAGUAGAAGAAAGAGUAACAGGAGG
RNAcentral lists this long non-coding RNA (1287 nucleotides) under Citrus sinensis (sweet orange). Its description in RNAcentral is "long non-coding RNA (CSIN_LNC004694)". Lineage: Eukaryota; Viridiplantae; Streptophyta; Magnoliopsida; Sapindales; Rutaceae. The record is from RNAcentral.